ACGGGUGAGUAACACGUGGGUAACCUGCCCAUCAAAGGGGGAUAACCUUCGGAAACGGAUGCUAAAACCGCAUAGGUUCUUGAGCCGCAUGGCUCGAGAAGGAAAAGAGGCUUCGGCUUCUGCUGAUGGAUGGACCCGCGGUGCAUUAGCUAGUUGGUGAGGUAACGGCUCACCAAGGCCGUGAUGCAUAGCCGACCUGAUAGGGUGAUCGGCCACUUUGGGACUGACACACGGCCCACACUCCUACGGGAGGCAGCAUUAGGGAAUCUUCCGCAAUGGACGCAAGUCUGACGGAGCAACGCCGCGUGAGGGAAUAAGGAUUUCGGUUCGUAAAACUCUGUUGUUAGAGAAGAACAGCGCAUACAGUAACUGUUAUGCGUGUGACGGUAUCUAACCCCAAAGCCACGGCUAACUACGUGCCAGCAGCCGCGGUAAUACCUAGGUGGCAAGCGUUGUCCGGAUUUAUUGGGCGUAAAGCGAGCGCACGCGGUCAAUUUGUCUGAUGUGAAAGCUCCACGGCUCAACCGGGGAGGGUCAUUGGGAAACUGGUUGACUUGAGUGCAGAAGUAGGAGAGUGGAAUUCCAUGUGUAGCGGUGAAAUGCGUAGAUAUAUGGAGGAACACCAGUGGCGAAGGCUGAGUCUCUGGUCUGUAUCUGACCCUGAAGGCUCGGAAGCGUGGGUAGCUUACAUGAUUAGAUACCCUGGUAGUCCACGCCGUACAC
Molecule: ribosomal RNA, 723 nt
Filed under: uncultured bacterium
Lineage: Bacteria
Description: bacterial SSU rRNA
Rfam family: Bacterial small subunit ribosomal RNA
Source: RNAcentral